UACAGAGGUCUCAAGCGUUGUUCGGAUUCAUUGGGCGUAAAGGGUGCGUAGGUGGCGCUGUAAGUCAGGUGUGAAAUUUCGGAGCUUGACUCCGAAACUGCAUUUGAUACUGCGGUGCUCGAGGACUGGAGAGGAGACUGGAAUUUACGGUGUAGCAGUGAAAUGCGUAGAGAUCGUAAGGAAGACCAGUGGCGAAGGCGGGUCUCUGGACAGUUCCUGACACUGAGGCACGAAGGCCAGGGGAGCAAACGGG
This 253-nucleotide ribosomal RNA is filed under the name uncultured bacterium. RNAcentral describes it as "partial 16S ribosomal RNA". It matches the Rfam family "Bacterial small subunit ribosomal RNA", at positions 524 to 776 of the family's 1533-position model. The record is from RNAcentral.